This 300-nucleotide ribosomal RNA is filed under the name uncultured Bacillus sp. RNAcentral describes it as "bacterial SSU rRNA". It matches the Rfam family "Bacterial small subunit ribosomal RNA", at positions 496 to 795 of the family's 1533-position model. Lineage: Bacteria; Bacillati; Bacillota; Bacilli; Caryophanales; Bacillaceae. The record is from RNAcentral.
GGUAAGUACGUGUCGGCGGAGUGGAGAAAGCGGAGGGGGCAAGCGGUAGGCGGGUUUACUGGGGGUAAAGCGAACGCGUGCGGUUAUGUAAGGCGGACGGGAAAGCUCCGAGCGCAAGUGGGAGAGGUCGGUCGAAACGGCAUAGCUUGAGGGUGGAAGAGGGGAGCGGAACUCCCGGUGUAAUGGUGGAAUGCGUAGAUAUCGGGAAGAACACCAGUGGCGAAGGCGGCUCUCUGGUCCAAAUCUGACGCUCAUGUGCGAAAGCGUGGGUAGCGAACGGGAUUAGAUACCCGAGUAGUC